This 242-nucleotide ribosomal RNA is filed under the name uncultured bacterium. RNAcentral describes it as "partial 16S ribosomal RNA". It matches the Rfam family "Bacterial small subunit ribosomal RNA", at positions 95 to 334 of the family's 1533-position model. The record is from RNAcentral.
CCGGCGCACGGGUGAGUAACACGUAUGCAAUCCACCUGUAACAGGGGAGUAACCCGGAGAAAUCCGGACUAAUACCCAUAAUAUGGGCGCUCCGCAUGGAGAGUUCAUUAAAGAGAGCAAUUUUGGUUACAGACGAGCAUGCGCUCCAUUAGCCAGUUGGCGGGGUAACGGCCCACCAAGGCGACGAUGGAUAGGGGUUCUGAGAGGAAGGUCCCCCACAUUGGAACUGAGACACGGUCCAA